GUUCCUUCGGGAAUGAGUAAAGCGGCAGACGGGUGAGUAAUACAUAGGUAAUCUACCUUCGAGCUUGGGAUAACCCCGCGAAAGUGGGGCUAAUACCGGAUAAGACCACGCGACUUAAGUUACGUGGUAGAAGGUGGCUUGUAUUUAUACUGGCUAUCACUUGAGGAUGAGCCUAUGGCCUAUCAGCUUGUUGGCGGGGUAAAAGCCCACCAAGGCUAUGACGGGUAGUUGGUCUGAGAGGACGACCAACCACACUGGGACUGAGACACGGCCCAGACUCCUACGGGAGGCAGCAGUGGGGAAUAUUGGGCAAUGGGCGAAAGCCUGACCCAGCGACGCCGCGUGGGUGAUGAAGGCCUUCGGGUUGUAAAGCCCUGUCAUGCGGAAAGAACAGUCUUACGGUUAAUACCCGUAGGAUUUGACGGUACCGCAGGAGGAAGCACCGGCUAACUCCGUGCCAGCAGCCGCGGUAAUACGGAGGGUGCAAGCGUUGUUCGGAAUUAUUGGGCGUAAAGGGUUCGUAGGCGGGAUUGUAAGUCAAGUGUGAAAUCCCCGAGCUUAACUCGGGACGUGCACUUGAAACUGUGAUUCUUGAGUCAUAGAGAGGGUGGUGGAAUUGUUGGUGUAGGAGUGACAUCCGUAGAGAUCAACAGGAACAUCAGAGGCGAAAGCGGCCACCUGGCUAUGUACUGACGCUGAGGCGCGAAAGUGUGGGGAGCAAACAGGAUUAGAUACCCUGGUAGUCCACACUGUAAACGGUGAACACUAGGUGUGGGAGGUGUAAUACCUUCUGUGCCGCA
Molecule: ribosomal RNA, 800 nt
Filed under: uncultured Syntrophorhabdus sp.
Lineage: Bacteria; Pseudomonadati; Thermodesulfobacteriota; Syntrophorhabdia; Syntrophorhabdales; Syntrophorhabdaceae
Description: bacterial SSU rRNA
Rfam family: Bacterial small subunit ribosomal RNA
Source: RNAcentral